Astatotilapia calliptera (eastern happy) is the source of this 1239-nucleotide long non-coding RNA. The record is from Ensembl. Lineage: Eukaryota; Metazoa; Chordata; Actinopteri; Cichliformes; Cichlidae.
GAUCUAACCAUGCAAAAUAUGACUUUUUACAAUUUUUUCAAGUGGUCUUAAACUUUUGAGGUCUGAAUUGACAUAAAUAAAACAUGCAUGAUUUGAUGUUACACGGUGAUGUAUUUGUUGGGAUUUCUCUAAAUAACUCUUUUUUUUUUUUUUUUUUAAAUUCGUGUUUCAGGUGAAUUAUGAGGUAUUUGUGUGGCAGAGGGAGAAAAGGUGUGAAUCUCUGAUUCACCGACAAGAGUUUUUACCUGAAGCAUGUCCUUAUCAGCAUCAGCAGCAGGAGGCGGCGGUUCCUUCUCCACCUCCUUUUUUCUCAUGACUCAUGUCUUCCUCUUUUGUCUUCUUAGAAACACUUUUAUGCCCUUUGUUGGAGUGCUUUAACCACCACCAUGAUGUUAAGUUAUAGAUGGAUGCUGCGCUGUGAUUGGCGUUUAAGAUUAAGAUAUAUUGAUCAGACACAGAAAGAGGUGUUUCAGAUGUGACUUUGCCUGUAAGAAACAGAUAUCCGAAAAAUCCUGUCCUGAAAAUAAAACAUUUAGUUUACGAAUGAUUGAAAAAAAGUUUAACAACAGACCAACGACUCACAUGACUGCAGGUAAGAAACACUUAAGAAAGAUCAAUUUGGUUUGGUAUAAAACAGUGAUUUUACAUGGUUUUACUCUGGUUUAAGGACGUUUGACAACAGUGUAGAAAAACCGUCUCUCAACUAAAACUGAAUCAGACAAUUUGGGAACACCAAAACAGCAAAGAUGGCUGGUCUCUGGUGGAUCACUGUGACGAUGGUCUUCUGUCUGUCUGCUGGAAGUUUGGCUGAAAUAGACCAAAAGCUGCUCGCGACACUCAUAUGUCAUCUAACGAAAACAGUCAGAAAAGAGUACAAGAUAUAUUCAAUGUAUGCCGUGGCCUUAAGCAUUCCGAACUAUGCAAACCAAGUCAAAUAUGACCUACAAAGGGUGACACCAAACCUACAGACACAAGUCAAUGACGGCAUCCUCAGCACUCCUAGACUUGUGGUAGCUUCAAUAAAAGAUGUAACGAAUAACAACGGGAAUUUUCUAUAUACUGAACAUGCAGAGUGGCGUGUUCUGCAGAAUCUUAAUCUUGUAGGUAACCAUGGUGAUUUGUUGGUCUUCUUCUCUUACGCCAAUCCAUGUUUAUCAAGCUGUGCAAAUCCAAAUGGAAACUACAAGAUCACUGGUGAGCUCAGACGUCUCUUUAAUAGAACUGUGUGGGGUGAAAAGG